Long non-coding RNA from Amphiprion ocellaris (clown anemonefish), 779 nucleotides. The record is from Ensembl. NCBI's taxonomy places the organism in Eukaryota, Metazoa, Chordata, Actinopteri, Pomacentridae.
UUUUCAUGGUCAAAACGAGAGAUCAGGUGGCCGAUCUUAAAAUAAAUCAAUAUUGAUUUUUUUUAUAGAGCGUUAAAGUUUUGCGAAGCCAGGAGGCGGGACUACUUGAUUGACAGUCUGGUCUGGAAUGAUUGACAGGUCCUAUGGAGGAGGCAGCAGAGACUCUGCUCUCCUCGUUUGGAUUAAUUCUGAUAUAAUAACUGUUGGUUUAUUUAUCGGGGAGCAGAACAUUUUCCACAGAGAGUUUUCCUGCCCGUUGGCUUGUUUUAACAAGUUUUCUGCCUUCGGGCUGAUCCUACCAGCAGACACUGAAAGGACUCUGAUAGUUCGGUGUCUCAUGUUCACUGUAAGGAUCUUCUGAGUGAAGCUAGCAGAAGGAAAACCUCAUCUGGUUGUGAAGAAGGAGACUGAAUGGACGGCAUCGUCCCUCUCUAUCUCCCCACACAUCCACCAACCACUGGAACACAUCUCCAAAGUUCUGCCGGGCCAGCUCAGCUUCCCCUCAGAAGAAGUGCUGCCACCUGCCAGAUGAAGGAGCCUUUUGAGAGGCAGCUGGCAUCGUGAUUGGACUGUACUUUGGUCUGUUCCAAUCCAGCUUCAGCUCCAGAGACGGCAGGCGGGACGAGUCAACGGAGGCCGGGUGGACGAAGGCAUGCAGCUGAGUACAAUCCAGAAAACAACAGAGGAGGAGUGCAGCGGCCUAGUGGCAAAACAAACAGAGUAGCAUUGUAUGUCUCUUAGAAAACAUCAUAGUAUAGCCUUUGGUAUGAAAAAACGGC